UGGGCUGAGGCUCGUGGUAGAGUGCUUGCCUGGCAUGCAUGGCGCACUGGGUUCAAUCCUCAGUACCCCAU
RNAcentral lists this transfer RNA (71 nucleotides) under Marmota monax (woodchuck). RNAcentral's name for it is "tRNA.Ala". Lineage: Eukaryota; Metazoa; Chordata; Mammalia; Rodentia; Sciuridae. The record is from RNAcentral.